Long non-coding RNA from Bufo bufo (common toad), 314 nucleotides. RefSeq lists it as uncharacterized. NCBI's taxonomy places the organism in Eukaryota, Metazoa, Chordata, Amphibia, Anura, Bufonidae. The record is from RefSeq and is a predicted model, not a curated record. The transcript is spliced from 2 exons.
GCUAUGACGCCGUGCGCUUCAUGUCGCUGCUGCACUACAGUAAUACACUCGUAUGAUCUAUACGAGUGUAUUACUGGCUGAACACAUCACUGUAAGCUAAUUGUAUGUACUUCGCCAUGCAAGACUACCACUGACCAGCAAAUUAUAAAAACAUAACCUUUAUUAGUCCACAUUAAGAUUACCGAACAAAUUAUAGGUGUGGGUUCCAGAGCUGGCACCGCUGAGAAAAAUGAUGUUUUAAUAUAAGGGAAUGAGCCUAUAGGAGCAAAGCAGGUACGCCAGUUUUUUUUGUGCAAAAUGCGCCCAAAAGAAAU